Molecule: ribosomal RNA, 253 nt
Filed under: uncultured bacterium
Lineage: Bacteria
Description: partial 16S ribosomal RNA
Rfam family: Bacterial small subunit ribosomal RNA
Source: RNAcentral
UACGAAGGUGGCAAGCGUUACUCGGAAUUACUAGGCGUAAAGGGCAGGUAGGUGGUUUGGUUAGUCUGUUGUGAAAGCUCCUUGCUCAACGGGGAGAGGUCAACAGAUACUGCCAAGCUUGAGUAUAGGAGAGGGUACUGGAAUUCCCGGUGUAGCGGUGAAAUGCGCAGAGAUCGGGAGGAACACCAAUGGCGAAAGCAGGUACCUGGACUAUUACUGACACUCAGCUGCGAAAGCUAGGGGAGCAAACAGG